CAAGAACAGCCGUCAGUUCUCAACGAGCAGUGCCCGUGGAAGGUUACGUUCACUGUGUCUGGUGUGUGUUCAAUUAAUAUCUCGAAUAGUGUGAAUAUAUCAGUGAAUUUAGGCCUAGUGCGGAUUUAGAAGCGAGAGACAGACCGUAAUCUCAAGCCCACCGCGGAAAUUAAAGCUUAGUUAAAAAAAGAACCAAACCACACACACACACAUCACCAUGGGUAUCCGCCACUCCAAGAAGUCCGUCGACA
Molecule: long non-coding RNA, 251 nt
Organism: Penaeus indicus
Lineage: Eukaryota; Metazoa; Arthropoda; Malacostraca; Decapoda; Penaeidae
Exons: 2
Source: RefSeq, a predicted model, not a curated record